This 429-nucleotide ribosomal RNA is filed under the name Bacteroidota bacterium. RNAcentral's name for it is "Bacteroidetes bacterium partial 16S ribosomal RNA". It matches the Rfam family "Bacterial small subunit ribosomal RNA", at positions 355 to 776 of the family's 1533-position model. The record is from RNAcentral. Lineage: Bacteria; Pseudomonadati; Bacteroidota.
UAGGGAAUCUUCGGCAAUGGGGGGAACCCUGACCGAGCAACGCCGCGUGAGUGAAGAAGGUUUUCGGAUCGUAAAGCUCUGUUGUUAAGGAAGAACGAGUGUGAGAAUGGAAAGUUCAUACUGUGACGGUACUUAACCAGAAAGGGACGGCUAACUACGUGCCAGCAGCCGCGGUAAUACGUAGGUCCCGAGCGUUGUCCGGAUUUAUUGGGCGUAAAGCGAGCGCAGGCGGUUAGAUAAGUCUGAAGUUAAAGGUAGUGGCUCAACCAUUGUAGGCUUUGGAAACUGUUUAACUUGAGUGCAGAAGGGGAGAGUGGAAUUCCAUGUGUAACGGUGAAAUGCGUAGAUAUAUGGAGGAACACCAGUGGCGAAGGCGACUCUCUGGUCUGUAACUGACGCUGAGGCUCGAAAGCGUGGGUAGCAAACAGG